GUAGAUCAUCCGAUUUUUCAUCGUCGAGUCGCUCGCAAUCGCUUCGUUAAAGAAAAGAAAAAAAAAUAGAAAAGUAACGAAAGAGGCGGAUCUCGAUUGUCGUUUCAACUCACGCGUAGACAUUGCGAGACCUCGUUCGUCGAGACUCGAUCGAACAGAUAGUCCUAAGGUGCCCCCCUUUUUUACUCGGAGGUCCGACGUCGUCGACGUAGACGGUGAUUCUUCUUCGUGGCUCGCGUUGAAUAUCAAACGGUAUUCUCUCGGAGUGGAUCGCAAUAUAUAUAUAUAUAUAUAUUGCGUAUUCGAUAUGCAUCGGUUGACGUGACGUUUACGAUCGAUAAUGCUCUUCUCUUUCGAUUUUUCUUGAAUAAAUCGAAUUUGCGAGCUAUAUCCACGUAUUGGAAAAUAAUUGAUCGAUAUGGCUCUAAACUGAUCGAUCAGACGUUUAGUAGUACGUAAAGAUAUGGAUAUUUAUCGAAAGAGGGAGAACGAGAGACUUGAUAAUCCUGGCGUGUGUUAAGAGGAAGCGACGAGAUUAUUCGGCUAGGCUCGCGGGGUCCCUCGAAAUACGCGCGUAUUAGCCUUCACGUAAUAGCACCGCGUCGUAAUGCGCCGGCAUUAAAGCUAGUCUAAUAACGCACGAUACUCGGAGAGAGUAGGCAGCAGCAGCAGCAGCAGCAGCAGCAGCAGGCAGGCAGGCAGCUCGGCACUAGCGACACAGACCUCCUCCUCUCUCUCUCUCUCUCUCUCUUUCUCUCUCUCUCUCUCUCUCUCUCUCUAUGGUACACUCGCCUGGUUAGAACCUUAUACUCGAGUGCUCGGCUACAUCAAACUGCAUAAUUACGAUGGAACUCGGGUUGCCGUUCGAAACGCUUGCGUUCUGACCGCAACCGUCUCGCGUUAAUACGCUUCUGUCGUCUCUCUCUCUCUCUCUCUCCCUCUCUCUCUUUUAUGAGAUUAGAUAACGAGUACGAUCUCUGCCUCUGUAAUCUCCUUCGAUGAGAUCGAUUGACGUCUUGCCACGCCAAGAUGUAGAUUAUGCUAUUGUUUUUCGAUAAAAAGAGAAUACCUAAUAUCGGACAAGACACUGUUAUGGACGAUACGCAAAUGCACGAAUAAGAUGAUCUUGGCUUGCAUCGGAUUUUGAUGGAUUAACCGAGGGAGAGAUCAUGCGAAGACGAACGAAUAAAAGGAUUCGAACAAUGUACAAAAGUAUUCGUUUCGGAGAAGAAAGCCACGGUUUCGUAGUAAAGUCGAGUAAAGUUGAGUAAAGUCGAGCUCGUCGAAUAUAUUAUAUUUAUAUAGCGCUAGGAUCGAUCGAUUUUACGGUUUUAUAACGUAUACGAAAUUUAUACGUGUAUGUGCGUUUUAUAAAAGCACUUGCUAAAAAAGAAAAACGUGCGUAAAGUUUAUUUCGCUACAACGAAACGCGAUCUUUUUUACAUACUUUAUAGACUCGGUAAUACCGAAAAUUUAUUUGAUUUCAAAUAACGUUUCAAUACUUUUCAUAUAAAAUGAAAACUUUUUUCUUUUCUUUGACUUAUUAGAUCGAUAACGAACGAACGAUAAUGCUGCGAGCUUUGAUUUCGAUUACGUUUCAGAGUAAAAUUCUCGUCUAAAGGACGAACUCGAUGAGAAAGAUAUGGACGCCACUGAAAUUUCUUUCACGCGGCUCGUCUCGCCUACUAAUAUUCACGAUCGUUUCGAUAUACGCAAGCGGAAUCGACAAUGGAGAAGAAACGAUGCACGGGAAUCCACGUGCUUUUCCGUACCGUUAAAGUAAUUAGGAUAAUAUAUCCUAGGUGGAAAAUAAAUCCAAUAACUUCUUUCUCUUUCUUCUUUUUUCCUUUUUUCGUUACGUAAAACUCGAUAAAUGCCUUGAUAAUGCCGUACGGUAUUAGAAAUUGAAGAAUUUUGAUAAAGAGGACGAAAAAAAAAAUUGCAACCUUUUUGGUUUGCUGCUAGGGUACACGGUUAAAUUAAAAAUAGCGACGUUAUAGGAAGUUUUCCCGAGAAAGAAAGAGAGAGAGAGAGACGGUAUAUUUCCACGAUGGCCUAAACUUUUUAAGAGUGCCUCCGUGAAGUUGUUUUGUUUACGAAAGGGUAAAUUCCGUUGAUACACCCUUUUAGUUUAGCGCGUAAAUUUCCAUAUUAUGCGCCUUUUACCCGACAGAAAUAGCUCGUCGCGAAUACACGAAUUCAGAAAUCGAUAAGUAUAAUUCGCAUUUUUAUCGAUUCGAAUACUUGAGAAAUCCUUCCAAAAAAAAAAAAAAAAAAA
Long non-coding RNA from Vespa mandarinia (Asian giant hornet), 2278 nucleotides. The record is from RefSeq and is a predicted model, not a curated record. NCBI's taxonomy places the organism in Eukaryota, Metazoa, Arthropoda, Insecta, Hymenoptera, Vespidae.